UCGAUUUGUUAAGGUACGUGCU
This 22-nucleotide non-coding RNA is filed under the name Arabidopsis thaliana (thale cress). Lineage: Eukaryota; Viridiplantae; Streptophyta; Magnoliopsida; Brassicales; Brassicaceae. The record is from RNAcentral.